This 112-nucleotide ribosomal RNA is filed under the name Carlito syrichta (Philippine tarsier). Lineage: Eukaryota; Metazoa; Chordata; Mammalia; Primates; Tarsiidae. The record is from RNAcentral.
CCUAAUAACCAAACCACCCAGAACACACUCAUCUGAUCUCAGAAACUAAGCAGGGUUCAGCAGCGUUAGUACUUGGAUGGGAGACUACCCAGGAAUACUGAGUGCUGUAGAC